RNAcentral lists this ribosomal RNA (500 nucleotides) under uncultured bacterium. RNAcentral describes it as "partial 16S ribosomal RNA". It matches the Rfam family "Bacterial small subunit ribosomal RNA", at positions 30 to 523 of the family's 1533-position model. The record is from RNAcentral.
AUUGAACGCUGGCGGCAUGCCUUACACAUGCAAGUCGAACGGCAGCACGGGAGCAAUCCUGGUGGCGAGUGGCGAACGGGUGAGUAAAGUAUCGGAACGUGCCCAGUCGUGGGGGAUAACGUAGCGAAAGUUACGCUAAUACCGCAUACGAUCUAUGGAUGAAAGCGGGGGAUCGCAAGACCUCGCGCGAUUGGAGCGGCCGAUAUCAGUUUAGGUAGUUGGUGGGGUAAGGGAUCACCAAGCCGACGAUCUGUAGCUGGUCUGAGAGGACGACCAGCCACACUGGGACUGAGACACGGCCCAGACUCCUACGGGAGGCAGCAGUGGGGAAUUUUGGACAAUGGGCGAAAGCCUGAUCCAGCCAUGCCGCGUGCAGGAUGAAGGCCUUCGGGUUGUAAACUGCUUUUGUACGGAACGAAAAGGUUUGGCCUAAUAAGCUGAGCUCAUGACGGUACCGUAAGAAUAGGCACCGGCUAACUACGUGCCAGCCGCCGCCGUAA